UCUAUGUCGUUGUCCAUCACUGGAGAUAAGUACAACAUUGUUCGACGAGAACCCCACCACGUACACAUUACCAUCAAUAUCUACAUCAAUAUCCCGAGGAUACCUCAGAACUCUUUCAUUUUUGAAUACCCAUUGUAUUUCACCUUGUAGUCUGUAACAUGUGACAGUGUUUGUUUCAUUGUUUGUAUGAUAUAUAUUGUCCCUAAAUAUUGCAAUGUAACAUUCACAGGGCAUCUCGUCCCGAACUAUGUCACUAAUAGACUCGUUGUACAGAUUGAUCAUUCGUAUUCCUCUGUCGUAACCGGAAUAAAUCAAUCGGUUAUCUUUCAAUGCAAUGCCAUAAAUGUAACUAUUUGAAUCCAGUGAAAUUGUUUUCUUGAUUUGUUUCUUUUCCAAGUCUAUAAUUGUAAUACAAUUCUUAUCGGAACUACCAGAUGUGACAGCCAAUGUAUUGUCCUCACUGAUGUACACUAUAUCAAACGCUUCACAAGGCAUCUUCACUUCAAAGUCGUUUAAUCCGUUCAUG
RNAcentral lists this long non-coding RNA (526 nucleotides) under Mytilus galloprovincialis (Mediterranean mussel). Lineage: Eukaryota; Metazoa; Mollusca; Bivalvia; Mytilida; Mytilidae. The record is from RNAcentral.